Molecule: ribosomal RNA, 496 nt
Filed under: uncultured bacterium
Lineage: Bacteria
Description: SSU rRNA
Rfam family: Bacterial small subunit ribosomal RNA
Source: RNAcentral
AGAACGAACGCUGGCGGCGUGGAUAAGACAUGCAAGUCGAACGGGCUUAAUUUUAGAGCAAUCUAGGGUUGAGCCAGUGGCGAACGGGUGCGUAACACGUGAGUCAUCUGCCUGAAAGUGGGGGAUAGCUCGCCGAAAGGCGAAUUAAUACCGCAUGUGGUUGUGAAACCAAAGCCGGGGCAACCUGGCGCUUUUAGAGGAGCUCGCGGCCUAUCAGCUUGUUGGUGAGGUAACAGCUUACCAAGGCAACGACGGGUAGCUGGUCUGAGAGGACGACCAGCCACACUGGAACUGAGACACGGUCCAGACACCUACGGGUGGCAGCAGUCGAGAAUUUUUCUCAAUGGGGGAAACCCUGAAGGAGCGACGCCGCGUGGAGGAUGAAGGCUUUCGGGUUGUAAACUCCUGUCAUUUGGGAACAAGUCUUACGUUAACUGCGUGGAGAUUUGAUAGUACCGAAAGAGGAAGAGACGGCUAACUCUGUGCCAGCAGCCGC